Molecule: long non-coding RNA, 669 nt
Organism: Malurus melanocephalus (red-backed fairy wren)
Lineage: Eukaryota; Metazoa; Chordata; Aves; Passeriformes; Maluridae
Exons: 3
Source: RefSeq, a predicted model, not a curated record
CCUCCCAGUUCCCACAAUCCCCUCCCAAUUCUCCCUUAGUCCAUCCCAGUUUUUCCCAGUCCCUCCCAGUAUAACCUAGUCCCUCUCAGUUCCCUCCAGGUCCCUCCCAGUUAACCAAUCCCCUCCCAGUUCAUCCCAGUCCCCUCCCAGUCUGUCCCAGUCCCUCCCAGUCGCCUCCCAGUUCCCCCAGCUCCCCCCAGUUUGUCCCAGUCCCACCCCACUCAGGAAUUCCAGUGACUCAUCCACUCCCCAGUCCACUCCCAGUAUAACCCAGUCCACUCCCAGUCUGUCCCAGUUCCUCCCACUUUGUCCUAGUCCCCUCCCAGUAUAAUCCAGUCCCUCCCAGUUCCCUCCAGGUCCCUCGCAGGUUACCCAAUCCCCUCCCAGUUCAUCCCAGUCCCUCCCAGUUUGUCCCAGUCCCUCCCAGUUCCCUCCCAGUCCCUCCCAGUCCAUCCCAGUUUGUCCCAGUUUGCCCAGUCACCCCCCUUCCCCCCAGGGGUCAAAGGUCACGGCAUGGAGCGGGAAAGCCUCGGGAUACUGGUGAUACUGGGAGUUCUGUCCCUGGCCAGAGGGGAUCCCCCUGAUGCCACCGACCCCUUCCAUUACGGUGAGUGCGGGGAACUGGGAGGGACUGGGACAAACUGGGAUGGACUGGGAUGGACUGGAAAU